UACGGAGGGGUCGAACGUUAAGCGGAAUUACUCGGCGUAAAGCGCGCGUAGGGGGUUCGGCAAGUGGGAUGUGAAGGCCCCGGGCUUAACCUGGGAAUUGGGUUCCAGACUUGCGGGCUAGAGUAUGGUAGAGGGAGGUAGAAUUUCCUGUGUAGCGGUGAAAUGCGUAGAUAUAGGAAGGAAUACCGGUGGCGCAGGCGGCCUCCUGGACCAAUACUGACGCUGAGGUGCGAAAGCGUGGGGAGCAAACAGG
Molecule: ribosomal RNA, 253 nt
Filed under: uncultured bacterium
Lineage: Bacteria
Description: partial 16S ribosomal RNA
Rfam family: Bacterial small subunit ribosomal RNA
Source: RNAcentral